GGACCCGACUGCNANCGGGGUGGCACUAAGCCAUGGGAGUCGCACAUCCCACCGCUGUGGGGUGUGGCGAACGGCUGGGUAACACGUGGCUAACCUACCCUCGGGACGGGGACAACUCCGGGAAACUGGAGCUGAUCCCCGAUAGGUGGGGAGUCCUGGAACGGUUCUCCGCCAAAAAGGACUAGGAGGGUUAACGCUUCUAGUCCGCCCGAGGAUGGGGCUGCGCCCCAUCAGGUAGUUGGCGGGGUAAUGGCCCGCCAAGCCGAUAACGGGUGGGGGCCGUGAGAGCGGGAGCCCCCAGAUGGGCACUGAGACAAGGGCCCAGGCCCUAAGGGGNGCACCAGGCGCGAAACCUCCGCAAUGCGGGNAACCGUGACGGGGCCACCCCGAGUGCCCCCUUUCCGGGGGCUUUUCCCCGCUGUAGGAAGGCGGGGGNAUANGCGGGGNG
Molecule: ribosomal RNA, 448 nt
Filed under: uncultured crenarchaeote
Lineage: Archaea; Thermoproteati; Thermoproteota
Description: bacterial SSU rRNA
Rfam family: Archaeal small subunit ribosomal RNA
Source: RNAcentral